This 175-nucleotide ribosomal RNA is filed under the name uncultured bacterium. RNAcentral describes it as "partial 16S ribosomal RNA". It matches the Rfam family "Bacterial small subunit ribosomal RNA", at positions 1326 to 1500 of the family's 1533-position model. The record is from RNAcentral.
CUGGAAUUGCUAGUAAUGGCAGGUCAGCAUACUGCCGUGAAUACGUUCCCGGGCCUUGUACACACCGCCCGUCACACCAUGAGAGUUGGAAAUACCCGAAGCCUGUGAGCUAACAGUAAUGAGGCAGCAGUCGAAGGUAGAGCCAAUGAUUGGGGUGAAGUCGUAACAAGGUACC